Long non-coding RNA from Branchiostoma floridae (Florida lancelet), 626 nucleotides. RefSeq lists it as uncharacterized. The record is from RefSeq and is a predicted model, not a curated record. Lineage: Eukaryota; Metazoa; Chordata; Leptocardii; Amphioxiformes; Branchiostomatidae. The transcript has 3 exons.
CUUCAGUUGAUGAAAUGAUGUGUGAAAUUGACCUCGACGGCAAUGGCAAGAUCGAUUAUGAAGAGUUCGUCACUACGAUCUGUGAACUGACGCAGUUUCUCUAUGACGAAUGCAACGAUGACUAAGGAAGAAGUUUGCUGUGUGAGCCUUGCUGGGCGUGGACAUGAUGAGUAGUUCAAUCCAAAAGGAGACCAGGGGAGGAUUGAUCGAUCUUCAUAAAAACUGCUGGGGACCGAGACUAUGUGACUACUGCAGGAAUGGCAGAAAAUCAUGCGUCCCCUUUCCGACGUUUCAUCCAUAAAUUGGAGUGUUGUUGCAUUCCCAAACGUGUGCGAUUUCAAAGCACAAGAUGGAACUCGAGUUCCACGAACACAUCCCUCCGCCAAACAAGAAUGCCUUUAUUCAAGACUUUAACUCUUACUCGUGUACUACUAAAGAGUACUACAUGUAGCUACCCCAAUAGCAAACGACUGCAUGGACAUUAAACAUCUUAAUCUUCUUGUCUAAGGUAACAAUAAAAUUAUGUACACUGUUGUGAUACUUUCCAGCGCAACUUUUAUAGUGCUUCGUCAAAAUCAAUCAGUCUCUACUAGCCUUCGGCCUGGUUGAAUAGUGAAUUAUGUAAG